This 1407-nucleotide long non-coding RNA is filed under the name Jatropha curcas. RNAcentral describes it as "long non-coding RNA (JCUR_LNC003276)". The record is from RNAcentral. Lineage: Eukaryota; Viridiplantae; Streptophyta; Magnoliopsida; Malpighiales; Euphorbiaceae.
CACAGCCACCACUGCACAGAGAGAGAGAGGUGAGUGAAAAUGCCGGCCGGUCAUGGUCUUCGCUCCCGAACUCGUGAUUUGUUCUCAAGGCCUUUCAGGAAGAAGGGUUACAUCCCAUUGACCACUUAUCUUAGGACCUACAAGAUCGGUGAAUAUGUGGAUAUCAAGGUUAACGGCGCCGUCCACAAGGGUAUGCCUCACAAGUUCUACCAUGGCCGUACCGGUCGUGUAUGGAACGUUACCAAACGCGCCGUCGGCGUAGAGGUUAACAAGCAGGUAUACAACAAUAUAAUAACUCCAGUUCUCUUUUAUAUUUUGGUGGAAAACGAUUACUGUCUAUGUAUUCUUGGGUUUCUUAAAUUAAUGAAAAUAGUGUUAUUUUGUUUCUUUAAAUGAUAGAAAUGCUUUUAUUUAAUCUUAUGGUUCCGGUUUGCAUUCAUUUUUUGGAUUGAUUUAUUCUGGGUUCAAGUUUUUGUGGUUGUGUUUGAUCAUUAGGCGUUUGAUGUGUUGUCUGUGAUAGCUGUAUUGUAGGGCCUGACUUCUAGGUUGUGUCAUUUUUUUGGAUUUGAGCUAAAAUAGUUGUUAACAAGCAAGCAAUUUCUAUUAUACUUUUGGUGAUUUUGUGAUCCCUCUGACGUUUUUAAGGGCCUGUGUGCUUGAUGUUUACUUUGAAUGCUGAUGGCGUUAUAGAUCUUGGAUUUAGACACUAGCAUCCAAUUACUAUGUAUAUUCUGAUUAUUUAUUAUUGUAGCUCGAGAUAUCAUUACAAGUAGUUGGAUUAUUCAGCAAUUGUUGGGUCUGGUUUUAUGUUUGAUAUAGAUUGUCAAUGUGAUUGAUAUAUAGAGAGCUGUUUUAAAAUUUUGUUUGUUUUGUGUAGGGUUUCUUUUCUAGUCUUAAGAGUUUUAGUACCACUGGGAUUGUUGUUUUGGAUUAAUGUACUUUCGUCCAAAGAAUUCUCUGUUUAACUAAUUAGAUUAAUUGAUCUGUGGUGAUUUCUUUCUUGAUUUUAUUUUGAUCUCUAUUCCCUGCAUAGCUCAACUUCUAGCCUUAAAUGAUUAAAGCUUUGGUGUUGUUUGUGUAUUAUAGGUUGGUAACAGGAUUAUCAAGAAGAGGAUCCAUGUUAGAAUUGAGCAUUUGCAACCUUCGAGGUGUACCGAGGAAUUCCGCCUAAGGAAAAAGAAGAACGAUGAGCUGAAGGCAGAGGCAAAGGCUAAAGGUGAGGUCAUUAGCACAAAGAGGCAGCCAGAAGGACCAAAACCCGGAUUCAAGGUCGAGGGAGCAACAUUGGAAACUGUUACACCCAUUCCAUAUGAUGUUGUUAAUGAUCUCAAGGGUGGUUAUUAGAGCUACAAGUUUUAGGUUUUGUUCAUGCUGUUUGGUUUGUGAUGCAAACUUUUUUGUUGACUG